CAGCCGUAAACUAUGCUCGCUAGGUGUCAGGGACGGUGCGACCGUUUCUGGUGCCGCAGGGAAGCCGUGAAGCGAGCCACCUGGGAAGUACGGUCGCAAGGCUGAAACUUAAAGGAAUUGGCGGGGGAGCACUACAACGGGUGGAGCCUGCGGUUUAAUUGGAUUCAACGCCGGAAAUCUUACCGGGACCGACAGCAACAUGAAGGCCAAGCUGAAGACUUUGCCGGAUUAGCUGAGAGGAGGUGCAUGGCGUAGUCGUGU
RNAcentral lists this ribosomal RNA (261 nucleotides) under uncultured archaeon. RNAcentral describes it as "partial 16S ribosomal RNA". It matches the Rfam family "Archaeal small subunit ribosomal RNA", at positions 748 to 1009 of the family's 1478-position model. The record is from RNAcentral.